CAGUAGCCGCGGUAAUACGGAGGGUGCGAGCGUUAAUCGGAAUUACUGGGCGUAAAGCGUACGCAGGCGGUUUGUUAAGUCAGAUGUGAAAUCCCCGAGCUUAACUUGGGAACUGCAUUUGAAACUGGCAAGCUAGAGUCUUGUAGAGGGGGGUAGAAUUCCAGGUGUAGCGGUGAAAUGCGUAUAGAUCUGGAGGAAUACCGGUGGCGAAGGCGGCCCCCUGGACAAAGACUGACGCUCAGGUGCGAAAGCGUGGGGAGCAAACAGGAUUAGAUACCCCUGUAGUCCCUGUCUCUUAUAC
This 301-nucleotide ribosomal RNA is filed under the name uncultured bacterium. RNAcentral's name for it is "partial 16S ribosomal RNA". It matches the Rfam family "Bacterial small subunit ribosomal RNA", at positions 509 to 807 of the family's 1533-position model. The record is from RNAcentral.